Molecule: long non-coding RNA, 1341 nt
Organism: Gallus gallus (chicken)
Lineage: Eukaryota; Metazoa; Chordata; Aves; Galliformes; Phasianidae
Exons: 3
Source: RefSeq, a predicted model, not a curated record
UUUAACUGUAUCCUACGUGCAUAAAGUAUUCAGAAAGAGAGCUUUAAGGCUGAGCGUCCAGACAAACUACUUCAAUAUUGCUGCAGUUAAAUAGACAGUGGUUCGGAUCAGUGGUUGUACUGUGUUUUCUGAGGGUCCUGACUAUCUGUGGGCUAUGUCAAAGGCAACUAAGAAAGAGGUGACUAAGAAAAGGCAACCUGAUUAGUACUCUUUAAAUUGUUGCAUAAAGAUCUCUAACAAUUGUUUGGGGGACCACAAAUGGGGACAUACUGAAAUGUAAGAGAACCCACUAUGAGGCAGGGCUGGGGAAGACAGGCGCACUGUUCAGCCUCAUUAUUCUAUUUACGGACUGUUUCAGCAGGAGCUCACCUUCAAUUUCAAUGAAUUGGAAUGUCCUAAAACUGUAAGAACCUGUAGCCUUCUGCCCCCUCCAAGUUCCACUGACAAGCUCUAUAUACUACCAGCGUGUGCGACAUAACCCAAUUAUUUGGCCCACUAUUACUGCAUUAGUAGAGUAAGACAUGUAUAUUCGCCAACUGGAACAGGAGCCACCAGUGAAGAUAACACACAGCAUUCCCAAACUGGACCAGAUGAGAUUAAAACCAUAAUAUGAGUGCCUGGAAAUGAUGCUUUCACUCCGUGAAUGAACAAGAUGAUCUUUUGGAAUAGUAAAGUUUAUACUUCUAAGCCUUUUUAGGCAAGCACAAAAGUGAGAAGGAAUUAAUAUUAAUGGCACAGAUAAAGAAAAACGUCAGCAUUCUUCAAAAAAGAAGAAAUGUAACCAACGGGCACUCUGACAACAGCACCAUACCACAGCCAAGGCAAGUAGCUCUGCCAGCGUUCCUUGAAUCAAGACAUGGAUUUCUAUUGCAGAAAUUAUGAUACAGUAAACUAAAAUUUUAAUAAAGUACCACACCAACAAUACUUAAGUCACUCUGCAAAAUGAGUGAAAGUUGGGUAACAUUUACAAAAAGCUAAGAAUAAAUUAUUCAAUGUGGUAGACUGGAUCAGGUUGUAACGAAGAAUGAGUUUUGGAACAAGGUAAAAGUUUUCUGUUCUUAGUUUUAGUUUUCUGUUCUUUAAUUAAUAUUUUAAUUAAAUAUUAACCCUUAAUCUUAAUUAACCCUUAGUUUCCUGUUCUUUAAUUAAUAUUUUUAUGCUUUUGCUUCUAUUAAUCAUCUCCUCCCUUAGUCAACUGAUGUACUUUAGUUUGGAUGUCCCGCCUGUUCUGUAUUUCACUCAGCGUCUGAUCAGACACCCCAAUUUAACAAGCGUUUCUGUAAACAGAGUGCAGCUGAGAAGCCAGGCAGUGGCUGUAGCUUUGGACAGAGAGUUACCUCU